UUUGAAGUGAUAAACAAAACUUAAAACCUUCAUUAAUGAAGAUGAUGAAGUUAUCUGUAGCACUUUUGGCAAUCCUCAUGCUAUUUGACCCAUUUCGUGGUAAACAUGUUUAGAGAUCUUCUUGGUUACAUUAACAUGUGGCUGGCUUCUUGAAGUCAAAAAUCUUGAUUUAGAGGUGUUUUGCUAAGUUUAUUUAUAAAAAGCUUAUUAGCUUAUUAACGGUUCCACACCGCUAUAAGCUAAGAAAAUGUUUGGAUAAAAAUAACUUAUUGCGGUGGGAAACCGCUCAUAAGUUAUUUUUUCAUAAGUAACUUCACUCUAACUUAUUAGCUUAUAAGCUAAUAAGAUAAUAAGCAAUAAACUUUUUUUGCCAAACACCCCCUUAGAAUUUCAAAAUUUAUCUAUUUUCUGUAAAAAUCAUGACAACAUUGCACAUCCUAUUCUAUGUUUAGUAUAUCUUAUGAGAUACUGUUAAAAAAUUAAACAGCUUUUAUACUAAUGUGUAUCAAAUUUCAUGGCCAGUUUUUCUAUAUGUUUGACCUUGAAAAGUAACUUAUGGGUUAAGGGGUUUUUAAGGUCAAACAUGUCGCAUUACGAAAUAAAAUGUGAUAUGGUUCAUUUACAAUAAAGCCAAUGUUUCUCUCUUGUAAAUUUAGUGUAUGGUGGUAUAUUUCAAUAAAGAAAUUACAAAGAUAUAUAGAAUGUGUAUACAAGUUUGAAACAGUCUAGUUCAUGAUCACAUCAAUAUAUAUUUUUCUAUAUGUCAUGUAUUUAGUAUAUAUUUUGAUAUAUUUCUUUUAAAAAAAAACUAAAAGAAAACUAAGGCAUGCAUACUGGUUUUGUGAACGAAAUUUUGAACUUUGGCCUUCAAAGUCCAUUCAUAACGAGAUUUACAUAUAUUUGAUGAUCAAAUAGGUGUGAACUGCAAGCUGACUUUGAUAUGUAAAGAUGAACAAGUGUCAAAGCCACCUCUUUCAUGCUCACCAAAGUCAUGCGACCAAUUGUGUGCAAAAUUGCAUGAUAAAGGAUGGGGAAAAUGCGAUGAUCGCAAUAAGGAUGUUUGUCAAUGUUUCUAUGUUUGCUAUAAAGACUUUCGGAUUGCCAAAUAAACUCUACCAGCUUGGCUUCUAUUGUUAUUGAUCUUCCUAGUUUAUGACAUGCUUUUUUCGUGUUUGUUUGUUUAAUUAAAUCAUAAUCAAUAUAUGCUCCAUGGUCAUCAUUAUUCUGAUGAACAAUUACGUUAAAUUCAACCUUUAGUAAUUAGUAG
Molecule: long non-coding RNA, 1267 nt
Filed under: Lactuca sativa (garden lettuce)
Lineage: Eukaryota; Viridiplantae; Streptophyta; Magnoliopsida; Asterales; Asteraceae
Description: long non-coding RNA (LSAT_LNC001670)
Source: RNAcentral